GGUCGCGUGGCCUAAUGGCUAAGGCGCUAGAUUUCGGUCAAGGGGGGUUCACGAGUCUGAUCGGGCCCGGUCCUCCUUGAAUAAAACGUAUACUGAGCUCUCUAGAGAUUCCAGGUUCGACUCCUGGCGCGAUCG
Non-coding RNA from Purpureocillium takamizusanense, 135 nucleotides. NCBI's taxonomy places the organism in Eukaryota, Fungi, Ascomycota, Sordariomycetes, Hypocreales, Ophiocordycipitaceae. The record is from the annotation of a RefSeq genome assembly.